This 497-nucleotide ribosomal RNA is filed under the name uncultured bacterium. RNAcentral's name for it is "partial 16S ribosomal RNA". It matches the Rfam family "Bacterial small subunit ribosomal RNA", at positions 28 to 507 of the family's 1533-position model. The record is from RNAcentral.
GAUGAACGCUGGCGGCAUGCCUUAUACAUGCAAGUCGAGCGAACGCACGAGUAGCUUGCCUCUCUGGUGUUAGCGGCGGACGUGUGAGUAACACAUGGAUAACCUCCCUAUGAGACUGGGAUCACUUCGGUAACCCGGAGCUCAUACCGGCUAAUAUUUUGAACCGCAUGGUUCAAAAGUGUAAGCGGGUCUUGCUGUCGCUUAUAGAUGGAUCCGCGCUGCAUUAGCUAGUUGGUAAGGUAACGGCUUACCAAGGCGACGAUGCGUAGCAGACCUGAGAGGAUGAUCAGCCACACUGGAACUGAGACACGGUCCAGACUCCUACGGGAGGCAGCAGUGGGGAAUCUUCGGCAAUGGGCGAAAGCCUGACGGAGCAACGCCGCGUGAGGGAUGAAGGUCUUCGGAUUGUAAAACGCUGUUAUAAGGGAAGAACAGAUGUGUAAGUAACAGGGCACAUCAUGACGGUACCGAAACAGAAAGCAACGGCUAACUACGUG